UAACGCGUGAGUAACCUGCCUUGGAGAGGGGAAUAACACAUCGAAAGAUGUGCUAAUACCGCAUGAAAUGUCUGAAUCGCAUGGUUCCGGACAUCAAAGAUUUAUCGCUCUGAGAUGGACUCGCGUCUGAUUAGCUGGUUGGCGGGGUAACGGCCCACCAAGGCGACGAUGCGUAGGGGUUCUGAGAGGAAGGUCCCCCACACUGGUACUGAGACACGGACCAGACUCCUACGGAAGGCAGCAG
This 244-nucleotide ribosomal RNA is filed under the name uncultured bacterium. Its description in RNAcentral is "partial 16S ribosomal RNA". It matches the Rfam family "Bacterial small subunit ribosomal RNA", at positions 111 to 354 of the family's 1533-position model. The record is from RNAcentral.